RNAcentral lists this long non-coding RNA (3837 nucleotides) under Homo sapiens (human). RNAcentral describes it as "HSALNT0389579". The record is from RNAcentral. Lineage: Eukaryota; Metazoa; Chordata; Mammalia; Primates; Hominidae.
AGACCUGGAGAGCAGAAGACCUGGGCCGGGAGCGGGGCUUUGCCAGGGUCCAUUGUACUCACGCUGGGGGGCUAGAGACCUUCUUUUACUGGUUCUGCUUAUCAGCCAAACUUCACCUAACCUUUGGACUUGUUAAGCCAGUGCCUUGCAGCCUAGGCGCGGGGCUUUUCCACCGGUUCUCAGUUCCGCUUUAGUCCAGAGAGAAGACACUACGCUUCGGGGUUCAGGUGAGAGCCAGAGGAAGCUGGGGUGCUCGUGGAAGAAGGGGACGCAGGAGGAAGCGAAGAGUAGAGACCCUGGAUGCGUCCCGGCCGACGCAGGUGGUGGGCCAGGAGAGCCCGCAGGGCGGAAGAGAAACUGACCACUUAGGAAGGGGCGCCGAGGCCACGGGGGAGGUGAGGCAGCGUUAGGUGUGGUGAGCAUGCCCUGGAGGGACUCCAUUUAUUUCUACCUCGGUUACUACCUCCAGGCCCCAGAACCUCCCUGGCCUGGUCUGGCGGUUUGGGUUUGCAGAACUGCCCGCCAGAGAGCGUAGGCGAGGGUGAAGGAGUCCGGGAGAACUCUUGGAAAGAGACUACUUUAUGGGUAGAGGGAGUAGCCAAAGUGAAGCUCCCCCAGCAGCUGGGCUGCACCGGCGCCCAGCCUGGCCACGCCACUGGGGAGCUGGACCCCUGGGGCUCCUCACUCUCCUGUUUAAACCCGGAUGUCAAGGCGCCUCCGCCUUGGGGGAGGAUGGUGAGGCAGAAUGGUGAGGCACUAGGAUGGUGAGGCACUAGGAUGGUGAGGCACUAGGAUGGUGAGGCAGUGAAAGCAAAGCUUGACCUGCAGCUGGGUGGACACUUGCAGCCGAGGGUCCCCCCGGCCCACUCAUUUCUGGUUUAUUCGUAGUUCCAGAACAUCUGUGGUUCCCUGGGCCGGGGACGAGCUCUGUAGACGAGGUCACUGCAGCAGUGGCAGAAGUCUUGCACUCCUAGUACAGAAGGUGUCGACAGAGCUACUGAGGGAAAGAUGUUUUUUUUCCCACUCUGGCCUGGGCCAGGUAGGAAGCCAUAGGCCUUGCAGCACUAUUGGAGUUUCACCUGCUUCCCCCCUGGUGACGGGCAGGAGGGGAGGGCGGCGGAAGCGCGCCCAAACCGGCAAGCUAGGACCUGACCUGUAGAAGAACAGGGAAAGGGGCUUCUUUGCUUCCACCACACACAGACCUAAAGCUUCUGGGGAGGAGCAUAACGCUUCCCUUCUGGGAGCCUCAGUUUCCUCAUCUGCAAAAAGAGGAUACCACUGAUAACCUUUUUUUGGGGGUUGUGUAUAUUGACUGAGGCCACUUGUGCAACCGCUUGGUCUAAUAAUAAAGUUCAACACUUUCUGGUCUGAGAAGACGGGAAGCCAGUUCCCAGUAGUAAAACUGAGUUACUCUGGAAACUUAGGGUAUUCAGAAUUGGUGAUACAGUGCUGGGGUUGGAGGGAUUGGGGGACUAGGGUUUCAGAAUCAGCAGAAAAAUUGCAAAGGAGUUUCUAAGCACAUUUUCCUUCCUCUCCCACCCUUGAAAGAUAUCUAGGAGGAAGUAAGGUUAGGUUAGGGAUAGAGAGGAAUUUCAGCAGGAGGAGGAAGAGUCUAGCAGCUCUCAUCUGCCUAGGGGCAGGAUCUAAUCUCCUAGGUGUGCAAGGGCUGAUGGUGUAAUUUAUCAAGUCAGGCUGUUAAGGAGCUAGGAUGCCUCUUAAAUACAGGGUCUGCUACAGGUGCCUGGGCCACUUGUGCUGAGAGCCAGAAGGAAGCGGGAUGGUUGUGUGCGUGUAGCCUGAGGAAAGUUUACACUGAUCUCAGUCCCUCUUUCCCGGAGACAAGCAAAUCCCAAAUUCAGGAACCUCUCCAUCCUUCAGCCUCCAGACACCCAUUACUCCUCAGGGUGCCACAGGGAGUCAUAACUUCAUGAAAAUGUUGGCUUUUCAUUUCACCUUCUUUCCCUCUAGUUUGUUGUAAUAGGUGCAAAUCUUUGCUUCUCAUAAUUCUGCCCAAUGGAAGAACAUUCUCUGCCUACCCAGCUUGCCUCAAGAAGGAUAAUGAAGUGUUCAGAGUAAAUGUCCCUGAAGAACAAUCUCUUCGUCUGUCUCUCACUCGCUAUCAGGAUAGAAGCAUCAAGUGUAAUGAAGAUCAGUUUCUGUGUUAAGCUGGGAAAACCCAUUUAAAAAACAGCAAUCACUUCUGUUGUAACAACAAAACUUUGAUUGGCAGUUGCAGCUGCUGUGUGCCCCAUCUGAUUCCCAAGCCUCAUUCUCUCUCAAAAUUCAGGUGUCAGCAAACCCAUUCUUCCCCACACCCCAGCUAACUAUGUGAAUGUGCAGGCAAUUUCACACAGAGGAUAGGACAAACUUCCUAUGAGUGUCCAGGACGUGCAAUCCCUGGUAUAAAAUAAGUUGAAAUCCAGUUGACUCAUCAUUCUAUGAAGGUGUUCUGAGCACCAUGCUGGUCAUUCCACAGAUUGGCAAAUGUGGCUUCUGUGAACUCAUCUCCCCUGGAACUUAGCAGCACAAGCGAUAUUUCUUUUCUGAUUUGUGCAUGCAAUCUUUCCCCUACUUUUCACGGUUGCACUUCUUUGUUUACAGAAGAGAUUCUGGUCAUUUCCACCCCUGCCACUCCACUCUCCCAGCCUCUCUCAUUGGUUCACAGAGUAUCUAGAAGGCCUCAAAAUAAAAUCAUCUCUAGAGUAAAACAUAAAUACCAUCCUAACCUGUUCUGCAGGAGGUCAGGGGCCUUCUUGUUAGAGAGCAGUGUUGCAACCUGGAGAACAUUCUAGACAUCAGGGUCUGGAAAGAGCCUGAGGUUCUUCUUCUGGCUACAAAACCUCUUUCUGGGUGAUUCAUCUCCCCAAAAGUUUUGGUGAGCACCUUCUCUGGGUCUCUGAUUCUACCUUUGAAAAAUGGCUAUUGGUCUGGAUAACCAUUUAGGUCCUCCAACUUUUUUUUAUAAUUUGAAAUUCCUAAAAGGUCUUAAAUUAUUAGGGUGUCUACUUGCAGGCCUUCGGGCAGAUGGGCCAAGAGCUCAGGCCAGACCUCUGUGUAGUAGUGGACAUGAAGCCUUGACUAGCCACGAAAAAAUAUACCACAGAGAGCAAACCCUAUGAGGGGCAGGCAUCUUCUCAUGUCUUACUCCUCAGUGCCUGGAGAAGUGCUGGUGCAUGGUAGAUGCUCAAGAAAAUGCUUACUGAGUAAACGAACAUGUGAUUGCCUCUGGACAAUACUGUUAAAACUAAAUACUUGCCAGGUGUGGUGGCUCACACCUGUGAUAGUUCUUUGGGAGGCCGAGGUGGGAGGAUAGCUUGAGCCCAGGAGUUCAAGCAAAAUAGUGAGACCCUGUCUCUACAAAAAUAAAAAAUAAAAAAAUUAGCCAGGCAUGGUAGUGCAUGCUUAUAGUCCUGGCUACUCAGGAGGCUGAGGUGGGAGGAUCGCUUGAACCCAGGAGUCUGAGGUUCCAUUGAACUAUGAUCGUGUCACUGCACUUCAGCCUGGGUGACAGAAUGAGACCCCAUUCUCUAAAUAAAUAAAUAACUACUUUCACCAGACACGAAAGAGUAUAUACUGUGUGAUUCCAUUUAUAUAAAGUUAAAAAGUGGAAAAACAAAUCCGUGGUGCUGGAGGUUUCUGGGGUGCUAGAAAUGGUUCUAUAUUUUGAUUGGGAUGGUGGAUCCAUCACCAGGCUAUACAUGUGGGAUCUGUGCAUGUUGCCAUAUGUAAGUUAUAAAUUAGUAUAAAGUAAAUUAAAUAAAUUACUCCAAGUAUAAAAUGUAAACAGUGUGGGGCCGGGCGCGGUGGCUCAUGCCUGUAAUCCCAGCACUUUGGGAG